RNAcentral lists this ribosomal RNA (253 nucleotides) under uncultured bacterium. RNAcentral's name for it is "partial 16S ribosomal RNA". It matches the Rfam family "Bacterial small subunit ribosomal RNA", at positions 524 to 776 of the family's 1533-position model. The record is from RNAcentral.
UACGGGGGGUGCUAGCGUUAUUCGGAAUCAUUGGGCGUAAAGGGCGCGUAGGCGGUCUCUUAAGUCAGGUGUGAAAGCCCUCGGCUUAACCGAGGAAGUGCAUUUGAUACUAAGAGACUUGAGUAUGGGAGAGGGAAGCGGAAUUCCUGGUGUAGCGGUGAAAUGCGUAGAUAUCAGGAGGAACACCGGUGGCGAAGGCGGCUUCCUGGACCAAUACUGACGCUGAGGCGCGAAGGCGUGGGGAGCAAACAGG